UACGAAGGGUGCAAGCGUUGCUCGGAAUUAUUGGGCGUAAAGGGUAGGUAGGUGGUCAUACAAGUCUGGAGUGAAAUCCCCGAGCUUAACUUGGGACGUGCUUUGGAAACUGUAUGACUAGAGUGCUAGAGAGGUUCGUGGAAUUCCCGGUGUAGCGGUGAAAUGCGUAGAGAUCGGGAGGAACACCAGAGGCGAAGGCGAUGAACUGGAUAGCAACUGACACUCAACUACGAAAGCGUGGGUAGCAAAC
This 250-nucleotide ribosomal RNA is filed under the name uncultured bacterium. RNAcentral's name for it is "partial 16S ribosomal RNA". It matches the Rfam family "Bacterial small subunit ribosomal RNA", at positions 524 to 773 of the family's 1533-position model. The record is from RNAcentral.